Molecule: ribosomal RNA, 732 nt
Filed under: Phlegmacium latoclaricolor
Lineage: Eukaryota; Fungi; Basidiomycota; Agaricomycetes; Agaricales; Cortinariaceae
Description: eukaryotic LSU rRNA
Rfam family: 5.8S ribosomal RNA (bases 246-399)
Source: RNAcentral
GGAUCAUUAUUGAAAUAAAUCUGGCGGGUUGCUGCUGGUUCUCUAGGGAGCAUGUGCACACUUGUCAUCUUUAUAUCUCCACCUGUGCACCUUUUGUAGACCUGGAUCUCUCUCUGAAUGCUAGCCAUUCAGGAUUGAGGAUUGACUUCAUGUCUCUCCUUCCAUUUCCAGGCCUAUGUUUCUUCAUAUACUCUAAUGUAUGUUAUAGAAUGUAAUCAAUGGCCUUUGUGCCUAUAAACCUAUACAACUUUCAGCAACGGAUCUCUUGGCUCUCGCAUCGAUGAAGAACGCAGCGAAAUGCGAUAAGUAAUGUGAAUUGCAGAAUUCAGUGAAUCAUCGAAUCUUUGAACGCACCUUGCGCUCCUUGGUAUUCCGAGGAGCAUGCCUGUUUGAGUGUCAUUAAUAUAUCAACCUCUUCAGCUUUUGCUUGUUGAGUGUUGGAUGUGGGGGUCUUUUUUGCUGGUCUUCUCAGGUCAGCUCCCCUGAAAUGCAUUAGCGGAACAAUUUGUGGACCGUUCAUUGGUGUGAUAACUAUCUACGCUAUUGACGUGAAGCAGGUUCAGCUUCUAACAGUCCAUUGACUUGGACAAAUUUUCAUUAAUGUGACCUCAAAUCAGGUAGGACUACCCGCUGAACUUAAGCAUAUCAAUAAGCGGAGGAAAAGAAACUAACAAGGAUUCCCCUAGUAACUGCGAGUGAAGCGGGAAAAGCUCAAAUUUAAAAUCUGUCAGU